Molecule: non-coding RNA, 167 nt
Organism: Sturnus vulgaris (Common starling)
Lineage: Eukaryota; Metazoa; Chordata; Aves; Passeriformes; Sturnidae
Source: RefSeq, a predicted model, not a curated record
CAAAAUCUGGUCAGGUGUGCUCAAAAUCCAUCCAAAUUCACCCAAAAUCCACCCAGGUGUGCUCAAAUUCACCCAAAAUUUGGUCAGGUUUGGUCAAAUCUACCCAGAUUUACCCAAAAUUCAUCCAGGUGUGCUCAAAAUCCACCCAGGUGUGCCCAAAAUCCACC